GGGAAUAUGGGGUAGCUUGGCUUAUCCUUCCGGCUUUGGGAGCCGGGGACCCCGGUUCGAAUCCGGGUAUUCCCA
RNAcentral lists this transfer RNA (75 nucleotides) under Candidatus Woesearchaeota archaeon. RNAcentral describes it as "tRNA-Pro". It matches the Rfam family "tRNA". Rfam says of the family: Transfer RNA (tRNA) molecules are approximately 80 nucleotides in length. Their secondary structure includes four short double-helical elements and three loops (D, anti-codon, and T loops). Lineage: Archaea; Nanobdellati; Candidatus Woesearchaeota. The record is from RNAcentral.